RNAcentral lists this transfer RNA (77 nucleotides) under Proteus mirabilis. Its description in RNAcentral is "tRNA-Met". The stretch from base 5 to 65 matches the Rfam family "tRNA", at positions 6 to 65 of the family's 71-position model. Rfam says of the family: Transfer RNA (tRNA) molecules are approximately 80 nucleotides in length. Their secondary structure includes four short double-helical elements and three loops (D, anti-codon, and T loops). The record is from RNAcentral. Lineage: Bacteria; Pseudomonadati; Pseudomonadota; Gammaproteobacteria; Enterobacterales; Morganellaceae.
GCUAUGUAGCUCAGCUGGUUAGAGCACAACACUCAUAAUGUUGGGGUCAAAGGUUCGAAUCCACAAUUGAAUUAGCG